RNAcentral lists this non-coding RNA (24 nucleotides) under Arabidopsis thaliana (thale cress). The record is from RNAcentral. Lineage: Eukaryota; Viridiplantae; Streptophyta; Magnoliopsida; Brassicales; Brassicaceae.
AGGCGACGGAUUGGGAGCAGUGGC